UACGUAGGGUGCAAGCGUUGUCCGGAAUUAUUGGGCGUAAAGAGCUCGUAGGCGGUCUGUCGCGUCGGCUGUGAAAACCCGGAGCUCAACUCCGGGCCUGCAGUCGAUACGGGCAAACUGGAGUGUUGCAGGGGAGACUGGAAUUCCUGGUGUAGCGGUGAAAUGCGCAGAUAUCAGGAGGAACACCGGUGGCGAAGGCGGGUCUCUGGGCAACAACUGACGCUGAGGAGCGAGAGCGUGGGGAGCGAACAGG
RNAcentral lists this ribosomal RNA (253 nucleotides) under uncultured bacterium. RNAcentral's name for it is "partial 16S ribosomal RNA". It matches the Rfam family "Bacterial small subunit ribosomal RNA", at positions 524 to 776 of the family's 1533-position model. The record is from RNAcentral.